Molecule: ribosomal RNA, 496 nt
Filed under: uncultured bacterium
Lineage: Bacteria
Description: partial 16S ribosomal RNA
Rfam family: Bacterial small subunit ribosomal RNA
Source: RNAcentral
AUUGAACGCUGGCGGCAGGCUUAACACAUGCAAGUCGAACGAUGAUUAUCUAGCUUGCUAGAUAUGAUUAGUGGCGGACGGGUGAGUAACAUUUAGGAAUCUGCCUAGUAGUGGGGGAUAGCUCGGGGAAACUCGAAUUAAUACCGCAUACGACCUACGGGUGAAAGGGGGCGCAAGCUCUUGCUAUUAGAUGAGCCUAAAUCAGAUUAGCUAGUUGGUGGGGUAAAGGCCCACCAAGGCGACGAUCUGUAACUGGUCUGAGAGGAUGAUCAGUCACAACGGAACUGAGACACGGUCCGGACUCCUACGGGAGGCAGCAGUGGGGAAUAUUGGACAAUGGGGGCAACCCUGAUCCAGCCAUGCCGCGUGUGUGAAGAAGGCCUUUUGGUUGUAAAGCACUUUAUGCAGGGAGGAGAGGCUAAUGGUUAAUACCCAUUAGAUUAGACGUUACCUGCAGAAUAAGCACCGGCUAACUCUGUGCCAGCCGCCGCAGUAA